RNAcentral lists this ribosomal RNA (253 nucleotides) under uncultured bacterium. Its description in RNAcentral is "partial 16S ribosomal RNA". It matches the Rfam family "Bacterial small subunit ribosomal RNA", at positions 524 to 776 of the family's 1533-position model. The record is from RNAcentral.
UACGGAGGGAGCUAGCGUUGUUCGGAAUUACUGGGCGUAAAGCGCACGUAGGCGGCUCAGCAAGUCAAGGGUGAAAUCCCGGGGCUCAACCCCGGAACUGCCCUUGAAACUGCUAAGCUAGAAUCUUGGAGAGGCGAGUGGAAUUCCGAGUGUAGAGGUGAAAUUCGUAGAUAUUCGGAAGAACAUCAGUGGCGAAGGCGACUCGCUGGACAAGUAUUGACGCUGAGGUGCGAAAGCGUGGGGAGCAAACAGG